UCUCCGUUGGUGAACCAGCGGAGGGAUCAUUACAGGACUCGCAAGACUCCUUCACCCUGUGAACCUCACUACAAGCACGUUGCUUCGGCGGGUGUCCCGGCGGGGGUUUUCCCUCGCCGGGGCGCACAGCCCGCCGGCAGCCUACUAUACUCUGUCUCUUUGCGUUGGCAUCUCGAGAAAAAACAAACAGGUUAAAACUUUCAACAACGGAUCUCUUGGUUCUG
This 224-nucleotide unclassified non-coding RNA is filed under the name plant metagenome. RNAcentral describes it as "partial contains small subunit ribosomal RNA, internal transcribed spacer 1, and 5.8S ribosomal RNA". The record is from RNAcentral.